GAUGAAGAACGUAGCGAAAUGCGAUAAGUAGUGUGAAUUGCAGAAUUCAGUGAAUCAUCGAAUCUUUGAACGCACAUUGCGCCCCUCGGUAUUCCGUGGGGCAUGCCUGUUCGAGCGUCAUUUACACCCUCAAGCUCUGCUUGGUGUUGGGCGUCUGUCCCGCCUCCGUGCGCGGACUCGCCUCAAAGUCAUUGGCAGCGGUCUCGUCGGCUUCUCGCGCAGCACAUUUGCGCUUCUUGGAGCCCCGGCGGAUCAGCGUCCAGCAAGCAAUUUCGUGACUUGACCUCGGAUCAGGUAGGGAUACCCGCUGAACUUAAGCAUAUCAAUAAGCGGAGGA
RNAcentral lists this unclassified non-coding RNA (337 nucleotides) under soil metagenome. RNAcentral describes it as "partial contains 5.8S ribosomal RNA, internal transcribed spacer 2, and large subunit ribosomal RNA". The stretch from base 1 to 120 matches the Rfam family "5.8S ribosomal RNA", at positions 35 to 154 of the family's 154-position model. The record is from RNAcentral.